This 389-nucleotide ribosomal RNA is filed under the name uncultured bacterium. RNAcentral describes it as "bacterial SSU rRNA". It matches the Rfam family "Bacterial small subunit ribosomal RNA", at positions 29 to 408 of the family's 1533-position model. The record is from RNAcentral.
AAUGAACGCUGGCGGCGCGCCUAAUACAUGCAAGUCGAGCGAGAAGACGUAGCAAUACGUUUGUAAAGCGGCGAACGGGUGAGGAAUACAUGGGUAACCUACCCUCGAGUGGGGAAUAACUAGCCGAAAGGUUAGCUAAUACCGCGUACGCUCCUUGGACUUCGGUUCAGGGAGGAAAGCGAUACCGUGGGUAUCGCGCUCUUGGUUGGGCUCAUGUCCUAUCAGCUUGUUGGUGAGGUAACGGCUCACCAAGGCUUCGACGGGUAGCUGGUCUGAGAGGACGAUCAGCCACACUGGCACUGCGACACGGGCCAGACUCCUACGGGAGGCAGCAGUAAGGAAUAUUGCGCAAUGGGCGAAAGCCUGACGCAGCGACGCCGCGUGGGGGA